AAUAGGAACAAGGAAGCCAAAAAGCAGCUGAUUUGGUGAACCUCGCCGUCUCCGUAAGUAAAGAUGUCAGCCGUCGCCUCCCGCUGUUUCCUGCGUUCUGCCGCAUCACGAACGGUGAACUUUGCCGCCGGUGGCAAGUCAAGACCCACCCGGUCUCCGUUUCGGGUGCCGAAGCAAAGUUCACUCUCUAACCGCAUUUUCAGGUCGCCGCCGCCGGCAAUGAGUUGCUGCGUUGAAUCGAUGCAGCCGUAUCACAUGGCCACGGCUUCCGCAUUGCUGACUUCGAUGCUCUCCGCUUGCCCCCGCUCUUAUGGUUGGACUCAUGAAGAUUGCAAUGAUGAUCUAUGAUGAAUGACAGAGGGUUCGAGAAAAGUCUAUAUAGAUGAGCUCUAAAUAAGAUGGAUGAUUGUUGUUUGUGAAUGAGGUGCACGCUACAUUCCAUGGAUUUCAGUUGUUUUCUGCUUGGCCCCGUGUGAUAAUUCCAACACUUUUUUGUGCAAAUGUGCUAGCGUCCACAGCAGCGUACCGUGCUAGAAACUACUGUAAUUUUAUUAUUAAACUUAUUUUAGUUUAUUUACAAUAUUUUAUGUCACCCUAUUCUAACUUACAGAUGAUUUCAUUACUCUUAUUAACGAGUCUAUUAUGGUAACUACCGGAACCAGCAUAAUCAAUUAAUCUUUUAA
This is an RNA transcript of Arachis stenosperma, 683 nucleotides long. It is a transcript of the gene named protein NUCLEAR FUSION DEFECTIVE 6, mitochondrial-like, with no coding region annotated. The transcript has 4 exons. The record is from RefSeq and is a predicted model, not a curated record. NCBI's taxonomy places the organism in Eukaryota, Viridiplantae, Streptophyta, Magnoliopsida, Fabales, Fabaceae.